GAUCAUUACUGAGUGCGGGCCCUCUGGGUCCAACCUCCCACCCGUGUAUACCGUACCUUGUUGCUUCGGCGGGCCCGCCAGUCUGGCCGCCGGGGGGCACCUGCCCCCGGGCCCGCGCCCGCCGGAGACAUCAUUGAACGCUGUCUGAAGAUUGCAGUCUGAGCGAUAAGCACAAAUUAGUUAAAACUUUCAACAACGGAUCUCUUGGUUCCGGCAUCGAUGAAGAACGCAGCGAAAUGCGAUAAGUAAUGUGAAUUGCAGAAUUCAGUGAAUCAUCGAGUCUUUGAACGCACAUUGCGCCCCCUGGUAUUCCGGGGGGCAUGCCUGUCCGAGCGUCAUUGCUGCCCUCAAGCCCGGCUUGUGUGUUGGGCGCCGUCCCCCCGGGGACGGGCCCGAAAGGCAGCGGCGGCACCGCGUCCGGUCCUCGAGCGUAUGGGGCUCUGUCACCCGCUCUGCAGGCCCGGCCGGCGCCAGCCGACCCCCUCAACCCUUUUUUUUUUUUCAGGUGAC
RNAcentral lists this unclassified non-coding RNA (510 nucleotides) under Penicillium chermesinum. RNAcentral's name for it is "sequence contains 18S rRNA gene, ITS1, 5.8S rRNA gene, ITS2, 28S rRNA gene". The stretch from base 185 to 338 matches the Rfam family "5.8S ribosomal RNA". The record is from RNAcentral. Lineage: Eukaryota; Fungi; Ascomycota; Eurotiomycetes; Eurotiales; Aspergillaceae.